This is a long non-coding RNA of Harpia harpyja (harpy eagle), 1183 nucleotides long. RefSeq lists it as uncharacterized. The record is from RefSeq and is a predicted model, not a curated record. Lineage: Eukaryota; Metazoa; Chordata; Aves; Accipitriformes; Accipitridae. The transcript has 3 exons.
UCUCUGCUGCUCCUGCAGCAAGAAGCUCAAGGAGGGCUAUCUGUGGGGGUAGUUUGAGGAACCUGAAUGAAGAACAAGCCAUUUAGGAAGAGCAGAAACACUGGAGCUGGAUUUCCCGGUUAUCUGUGCCUGGAGGAACAGACUCCAUGGGGAUCCUUUGCUGGUAAAUAAGGCCUGAACUUCCGCAUGCAGCCUACAGGCAUCUGUGAAGUCUUAGGUUCUCCACCCUCCUCCCAAAAAUCUCCCAGGAACAUCAUAUCGCUGAGAACUGCACUAGAUGUUUGGACAUGAAGCUGGGCAAGCUUUCAGAGGGCUGAGAGAGAUGCACAGAGUGCUAUCCCAUGACCUCUGUUCCAUUAGGAAACUUGGCUAAAAUGGACGGAUGCACUUGGAAACCGAAGUGGGAGCCCUUUCCAAAGGGGCUGGCCUGGCUGAGCGCAGUCUGCUUCAGAGCUAAGAUAAAGGGCACUAUAAAACCUGCAAAAGCCCCUGAACUGGCGUGCUGAGUCUCACCCUGGGCUCCAGGUCGGAGGGUUGCUGUGGCUCCAGCAGGGAGAUGAAACUGGGGCUGGGCCAGCUUGGGAGCCCAGCAUGCCUCCAUGGAUAUGGUGACUCCAGGCUCAGCCAUCUCUGCACGGCUCUCGCGGAACCCAGGGGUGACACCAGGCGAACACCAGUCCUGCACGGCUCCAGGAAUGUUUCCUAGGAGGUGUCUGACAUCCAGCUGCAGCCAAGGAUCAUCUCCAGCAGCUUGGCUUUUCUGCUGACCAUCACCCGCUGAAGAUCAUGCACCAGGAAAAGGUCAUAUAAUAGCCCCACAAGAAAAUACAUUGUUCCCCAACCCCCUCCUGAGCCUGCAGCAACGGGCUGAUGUUGAGCUGGAGCACGGUGCAUUAACCUGGGAUUACGAGAAGACUAACGAUCGCCCGUCCGGUGCUGUCAUCUCUCAGCGUGAUGGAUGCUUAAAGACUUUGCUGGCACGGUCCUGGAGGAUGGACCAGUGCAGCCGGUGUGUGUGAGGAGAAGCUGCCGGUGGGGAGAGGCAGUGAGCCUGGGCCCCGAAUCCCCAGCCCAAUUCAGGAAACCAUCAGCAUGAUGUGCAGCCCUAAUUAGGGGAAUAAACUUAGCAAAGAAUUCAAACAUAAAUUUGCGCUUGCUGAUUUCAGACUUCACACACAUUCAC